RNAcentral lists this ribosomal RNA (511 nucleotides) under uncultured Lachnospiraceae bacterium. RNAcentral's name for it is "bacterial SSU rRNA". It matches the Rfam family "Bacterial small subunit ribosomal RNA", at positions 29 to 507 of the family's 1533-position model. The record is from RNAcentral. Lineage: Bacteria; Bacillati; Bacillota; Clostridia; Lachnospirales; Lachnospiraceae.
UACCUGGACUCAGACGUGAACGCUGGCGGCGUGCGUUAACACAGUGCAAGUCGAACGGGGCCGUACCAUUUUUGAAGUCGAUUUAGGCUUGCUAAGAGUGGAAAUGUUGGCGGCUUAGUGGCGGACGGGUGAGUAACGCUGGGUAACCUGCCUUGCACUGGGGGAUAACACUUAGAAUAGGUGCUAAUACCGCAUAAGCGCACGGAGCUGCAUGGCUCAGUGUGAAAAACUCCGGUGGUGCAAGAUGGACCCGCGUCUGAUUAGCUUGUUGGCGGGGUAACGGCCCACCAAGGCGACGAUCAGUAGCCGGCCUGAGAGGGUGGACGGCCACAUUGGGACUGAGACACGGCCCAAACUCCUACGGGAGGCAGCAGUGGGGAAUAUUGGACAAUGGGGGAACCCUGAUCCAGCGACGCCGCGUGAGUGAAGAAGUAUCUCGGCAUGUAAAGCUCUAUCAGCAGGGAAGAAAGAAAUGACGGUACCUGACCAAGAAGCCCCGGCUAACUACGUG